This 26-nucleotide small RNA is filed under the name Bombyx mori (domestic silkworm). RNAcentral describes it as "ovarian small RNA-13369". Lineage: Eukaryota; Metazoa; Arthropoda; Insecta; Lepidoptera; Bombycidae. The record is from RNAcentral.
CAGUGUGUGACGCGCGGUGUGCUGGA